Molecule: transfer RNA, 67 nt
Filed under: Cavia porcellus (domestic guinea pig)
Lineage: Eukaryota; Metazoa; Chordata; Mammalia; Rodentia; Caviidae
Rfam family: tRNA
About the family: Transfer RNA (tRNA) molecules are approximately 80 nucleotides in length. Their secondary structure includes four short double-helical elements and three loops (D, anti-codon, and T loops).
Source: Rfam by way of RNAcentral
GAGGAUUUAGCUCAGUGGCAUAGCACCUGCCUGGCAAGCACGAGGUCAUGAGUUCGAUUCCCAUUCA